Molecule: ribosomal RNA, 497 nt
Filed under: uncultured bacterium
Lineage: Bacteria
Description: partial 16S ribosomal RNA
Rfam family: Bacterial small subunit ribosomal RNA
Source: RNAcentral
GAUGAACGCUGGCGGCGUGCCUAAUACAUGCAAGUCGAGCGAACAGACGAUGAGCUUGCUUCUCUGACGUUAGCGUCGGACGGGUGAGUAACACGUGGAUAACCUACCUAUAAGACUGGGAUAACUUCGGGAAACCGGAGCUAAUACCGUAUAAUAUAUUGAACUUCAUGGUUCAAUAGUGAAAGACGGUUUUGCUGUCACUUAUAAAUGGAUCCUCGCCGCAUUAGCUAGUUGGUAAGGUAACGGCUUACCAAGGCAACGAUGCGUAGCCGACCUGAGAGGGUGAUCGGCCACACUGGAACUGAGCCACGGUCAAGACUCCUACGGGAGGAAGCAGUAGGGAAUCUUGCGCAAUGGGCGAAGGCCUGACGGAGCACCGCCGCGUGAGUGAUGAAGGUCUUCGGAUCGUAAAACUCUGUUAUUAGGGAAGAACAAAUGUGUAAGUAACUAUGCACGUCUUGACGGUACCUAAUCAGAAAGCCACGGCUAACUACGUG